GACGAACGCUGGCGGCGUGCUUAACACAUGCAAGUCGAACGGAAAGGCCCCCUUGUGGGGUACUCGAGUGGCGAACGGGUGAGUAACACGUGAGUAACCUACCCUUGACUUUGGGAUAACUUCAGGAAACUGGGGCUAAUACCGGAUAGGAGCUCCUGCUGCAUGGUGGGGGUUGGAAAGUUUCGGCGGUUGGGGAUGGACUCGCGGCUUAUCAGCUUGUUGGUGGGGUAGUGGCUCACCAAGGCUUUGACGGGUAGCCGGCCUGAGAGGGUGACCGGCCACAUUGGGACUGAGAUACGGCCCAGACUCCUACGGGAGGCAGCAGUGGGGAAUAUUGCACAAUGGGCGGAAGCCUGAUGCAGCAACGCCGCGUGCGGGAUGACGGCCUUCGGGUUGUAAACCGCUUUCGCCUGUGACGAAGCGUGAGUGACGGUAAUGGGUAAAGAAGCACCGGCUAACGACGUG
RNAcentral lists this ribosomal RNA (465 nucleotides) under uncultured bacterium. Its description in RNAcentral is "partial 16S ribosomal RNA". It matches the Rfam family "Bacterial small subunit ribosomal RNA", at positions 28 to 507 of the family's 1533-position model. The record is from RNAcentral.